Molecule: long non-coding RNA, 273 nt
Filed under: Lathyrus oleraceus (garden pea)
Lineage: Eukaryota; Viridiplantae; Streptophyta; Magnoliopsida; Fabales; Fabaceae
Description: Pisum sativum (pea) long non-coding RNA (PSAT_LNC021504)
Source: RNAcentral
AUGAUGAAGAAAUAGAAAGGUAAAGACAAGUUAGAAGAGAAGAAGUUUGUUGCUCUAAAUAUUUCUAGCUUCAUGUCCUCAAAGUAUGAGCCUAGUGAGUAUGAAGAAAGGGAUGACAAGAUCUCUGAUGAUGAUGAUGUUGGGAUAUUUGUCAAUAGAUGCCAAAGGUAUAUUCGGAAGAAUAAGGUCAAGCACUUUGAAGGCAAAUUGGAAAAAAUUUAGAAGGGAGUCCAAAUCUUCAAAAGACGGUGAGAAUAGGAAAGGUAAAUUUAG